Molecule: ribosomal RNA, 405 nt
Filed under: uncultured bacterium
Lineage: Bacteria
Description: partial 16S ribosomal RNA
Rfam family: Bacterial small subunit ribosomal RNA
Source: RNAcentral
AUUGAACGCUAGCGGGAUGCUUUACACAUGCAAGUCGAACGAGUGGAGGACGGGUGAGUAAUAUAUCGGAACGUGCCCAGUAGCGGGGGAUAACUACUCGAAAGAGUGGCAAAUACGGCAGCCUAUUGGUACGGCCGAUAUCGGAUUAGCCAGAUGGGGGGGUAAAGGCUCACCAAGGCAACGAUCCGUCGCUGGUUUGAGAGGACGACCAGCCACGAUGGGACUGAGACACGGCCCAGACUCCUGCGGUAGGCAGCAGUGGGGAAUUUUGGGCAAUGGGGCAAACCCUGAUCCAGCCAUCCCGCGUGUAUGAGAAGGCCUUCGGGUUGUAAAGUACUUUUGGCAGAGAAGCGGUAUCUGCAGAAUAAGCACCGGCUAACUACGUGCCAGCAGCCGCGGUAAUUC